This 494-nucleotide ribosomal RNA is filed under the name uncultured bacterium. RNAcentral describes it as "partial 16S ribosomal RNA". It matches the Rfam family "Bacterial small subunit ribosomal RNA", at positions 28 to 523 of the family's 1533-position model. The record is from RNAcentral.
GACGAACGCUGGCGGCGUGCCUAAUACAUGCAAGUCGAACGAAGCUUUUUUAACUGGUGCUUGCACCGACUUAAACAACUGAGUGGCGGAUGGGUGAGUAACGCGUGGGCAACCUGCCCUACACAGAGGGAUAGCCACGAGAAAUCGUGAUUAAUACCUUAUAACACAAAAGAGCUGCAUGGCGAUUUUGUCAAAGAUUUAUCGGUGUAGGAUGGGCCUGCGUCUGAUUAGCUAGUUGGUGAGGUAACGGCUCACCAAGGCAACGAUCAGUAGCCGACCUGAGAGGGUAGACGGCCACAUUGGAACUGAGACACGGUCCAAACUCCUACGGGAGGCAGCAGUGGGGAAUAUUGCACAAUGGGCGCAAGCCUGAUGCAGCAACGCCGCGUGAGCGAUGAAGGCCUUUGGGUCGUAAAGCUCUGUCCUUGGGGAAGAAUAACUGACGGUACCCUUGGAGGAAGCCCCGGCUAACUACGUGCCAGCCGCCGCCGUAA